GACGAACGCUGGCGGCGUGCUUAACACAUGCAAGUCGAACGGAAAGGCCCUGCUUUUGUGGGGUGCUCGAGUGGCGAACGGGUGAGUAACACGUGAGUAACCUGCCCUUGACUUUGGGAUAACUUCAGGAGACUGGGGCUAAUACCGGAUAGGAGCUCCUGCUGCAUGGUGGGGGUUGGAAAGUUUCGGCGGUUGGGGAUGGACUCGCGGCUUAUCAGCUUGUUGGUGGGGUAGUGGCUUACCAAGGCUUUGACGGGUAGCCGGCCUGAGAGGGUGACCGGCCACAUUGGGACUGAGAUACGGCCCAGACUCCUACGGGAGGCAGCAGUGGGGAAUAUUGCACAAUGGGCGGAAGCCUGAUGCAGCAACGCCGCGUGCGGGAUGACGGCCUUCGGGUUGUAAACUGCUUUCGCCUGUGACGAAGCGUGAGUGACGGUAAUGGGUAAAGAAGCACCGGCUAACUACGUG
This 468-nucleotide ribosomal RNA is filed under the name uncultured bacterium. RNAcentral describes it as "partial 16S ribosomal RNA". It matches the Rfam family "Bacterial small subunit ribosomal RNA", at positions 28 to 507 of the family's 1533-position model. The record is from RNAcentral.